UACGUAAGGGGCAAGCGUUAUCCGGAAUCACUGGGCGUAAAGGGUGCGUAGGUGGCCUUUUAAGUCAGGAGUGAAAGGCAUUGGCUCAACCAAUGUAAGCUCUUGAAACUGAAAGGCUUGAGUGCAGGAGAGGAAAGUGGAAUUCCUAGUGUAGCGGUGAAAUGCGUAGAUAUUAGGAGGAACACCAGUGGCGAAGGCGACUUUCUGGACUGUAACUGACACUGAGGCACGAAAGCGUGGGGAGCGAACAGG
RNAcentral lists this ribosomal RNA (252 nucleotides) under uncultured bacterium. RNAcentral describes it as "partial 16S ribosomal RNA". It matches the Rfam family "Bacterial small subunit ribosomal RNA", at positions 524 to 776 of the family's 1533-position model. The record is from RNAcentral.